RNAcentral lists this ribosomal RNA (490 nucleotides) under Pantoea sp. B40. RNAcentral describes it as "bacterial SSU rRNA". It matches the Rfam family "Bacterial small subunit ribosomal RNA", at positions 30 to 508 of the family's 1533-position model. Lineage: Bacteria; Pseudomonadati; Pseudomonadota; Gammaproteobacteria; Enterobacterales; Erwiniaceae. The record is from RNAcentral.
AUUGAACGCUGGCGGCAGGCCUAACACAUGCAAGUCGGACGGUAGCACAGNGGAGCUUGCUCCUCGGGUGACGAGUGGCGGACGGGUGAGUAAUGUCUGGGGAUCUGCCCGAUAGAGGGGGAUAACCACUGGAAACGGUGGCUAAUACCGCAUAACGUCGCAAGACCAAAGAGGGGGACUUCGGGCCUCUCACUAUCGGAUGAACCCAGAUGGGAUUAGCUAGUAGGCGGGGUAACGGCCCACCUAGGCGACGAUCCCUAGCUGGUCUGAGAGGAUGACCAGCCACACUGGAACUGAGACACGGUCCAGACUCCUACGGGANGCAGCAGUGGGGAAUAUUGCANNAAUGGGCGCAAGCCUGAUGCAGCCAUGCCGCGUGUAUGAAGAAGGCUUCGGGUUGUAAAGUACUUUCAGCGGGGAGGAAGGCGAUGUGGUUAAUAACCGCAUUGAUUGACGUUACCCGCAGAAGAAGCACCGGCUAACUCCGUGC